AACGAACGCUGCGGCAGGCUUAACACAUGCAAGUCGAGCGCCCCGCAAGGGGAGCGGCAGACGGGUGAGUAACGCGUGGGAAUCUACCUUUUUCUACGGAAUAACGCAGGGAAACUUGUGCUAAUACCGUAUGAGCCCUUCGGGGGAAAGAUUUAUCGGGAAAGGAUGAGCCCGCGUUGGAUUAGCUAGUUGGUGGGGUA
RNAcentral lists this ribosomal RNA (200 nucleotides) under uncultured bacterium. RNAcentral describes it as "partial 16S ribosomal RNA". It matches the Rfam family "Bacterial small subunit ribosomal RNA", at positions 29 to 259 of the family's 1533-position model. The record is from RNAcentral.